AAAGAACUAAAGACUAUUUCUAUUAUUUAAGGAGGAGGUUGGUCAGCUAUUGGAGAGUUCCCAGCUCCCCAGGACUCGGGAACUUGACCGUUGCUUCACCCUACAGUAUAAAUAAAGAAGCAAGCUGUCUAGUAGUCAUUCAGAGGUACAAGAUUCUCUCAAGCAUCAUGCCUGACUCCCUUCUUCCCUCUUGGACACCUUACAUCCUCUGGGGACCCACCAACUGCGGGGCUGGAGGGUCAGGCUGCACAGUCAGAGCGGAGCUCUGGAGUUGAUUCCAGCUGCAGAGGCUAAAGCGGGGAAUCGAAUUGAAGAACAAACAUGUGGAUCGACAGAGGCAACCCCAGACAGGCACACCGGACUAGACUGGAAGGCAGCAAUCUGAGUCGGCUGUAUCAACAGCAGGGACCAUGCCCAACCAAACUCCUGCGACAGUGUUGGGAGUUCUCUCCAAAGACACAUAUGCUAGUGAAGAUCACACCAAAAAUAUGUGGAACGAGGAGACAAGGCUAUGUGUUCAUUGGAGCACUUGAAUUUGACCAGACUAGGACUCAGAAGAGUGCUCUCAUUCAUCCAUGAGCUCAGGGGCCUCAUGAGACUGAGGAAACGCUGUCCACGGUGAGUGACAGAGCCAAUAGGAAAUGCCCUGAGCAACACGACUGCUUGAAGAUCAGAGGAAAGGACAGUUUUUGCAAGCUUUUCCACUAUUGUACCAAACUUACAAAGACAGAAGGCCAAACAAUAAACUUAUUUUGUGUCACUAAAAAAAAAAAAAAAAAACAUUUUUAAAAAUCUAGUAUUGAACAACUUUACAGAAAAAUUUACGCGUCUGUUGUUCCGAAACUAUUUUGAAAAAU
Molecule: non-coding RNA, 857 nt
Organism: Peromyscus maniculatus bairdii (prairie deer mouse)
Lineage: Eukaryota; Metazoa; Chordata; Mammalia; Rodentia; Cricetidae
Source: RefSeq, a predicted model, not a curated record